RNAcentral lists this transfer RNA (73 nucleotides) under Zootermopsis nevadensis. It matches the Rfam family "tRNA". From Rfam's summary of the family: Transfer RNA (tRNA) molecules are approximately 80 nucleotides in length. Their secondary structure includes four short double-helical elements and three loops (D, anti-codon, and T loops). Further hydrogen bonds mediate the characteristic L-shaped molecular structure. tRNAs have two regions of fundamental functional importance: the anti-codon, which is responsible for specific mRNA codon recognition, and the 3' end, to which the tRNAs corresponding amino acid is attached (by aminoacyl-tRNA synthetases). tRNAs cope with the degeneracy of the genetic code in two manners: having more than one tRNA (with a specific anti-codon) for a particular amino acid; and 'wobble' base-pairing, i.e. permitting non-standard base-pairing at the 3rd anti-codon position. Lineage: Eukaryota; Metazoa; Arthropoda; Insecta; Blattodea; Termopsidae. The record is from Rfam by way of RNAcentral.
GCCACGGUGGUCUAAUGGUCAGAACACUAGCCUUGUAAUCCUGGGGUCCCGGGUUCAAUUCCCGGUGGUGCUC